Molecule: non-coding RNA, 403 nt
Organism: Oncorhynchus masou masou (cherry salmon)
Lineage: Eukaryota; Metazoa; Chordata; Actinopteri; Salmoniformes; Salmonidae
Source: the annotation of a RefSeq genome assembly
GUGGAGCAGCUGAGUUCAUAUUUCCACCUUCAGGAUGAUGGGAAAACUCUACCUUCUACUGCUCUCUCUCUGUCUGCCCUGUUGCAAUGGUCAGAGUCUGGAGUCCAUUCCCUCUAGUCCAGUCCAGAGAAAUCCCGGAGAAACUCUAAGUCUGUCCUGUAAGAUAUCUGGAUAUACCGUUUCCAGCCACCACACACACUGGAUACGACAGCCAGCAGGAAAAUCCCUGGAGUGUUAUUGGAUGGGUUAUUCUGGAUUAGGCCUAGGUUACCAUGCUAAAAAGUUUGAAGGACGUAUGGAAACCACUAAAGAUACUAGUAACAGCAUGUUGACUUUGAUGCUGUCUGGUCUGAGAACAGAGGACUCUGCUGUGUAUUACUGUGCAAGAGACACAGUGGUGUGA